This 650-nucleotide ribosomal RNA is filed under the name Escherichia coli. Its description in RNAcentral is "partial 23S ribosomal RNA". It matches the Rfam family "Bacterial large subunit ribosomal RNA", at positions 165 to 856 of the family's 2925-position model. Lineage: Bacteria; Pseudomonadati; Pseudomonadota; Gammaproteobacteria; Enterobacterales; Enterobacteriaceae. The record is from RNAcentral.
CAUAGGUUAAUGAGGCGAACCGGGGGAACUGAAACAUCUAAGUACCCCGAGGAAAAGAAAUCAACCGAGAUUCCCCCAGUAGCGGCGAGCGAACGGGGAGCAGCCCAGAGCCUGAAUCAGUGUGUGUGUUAGUGGAAGCGUCUGGAAAGGCGCGCGAUACAGGGUGACAGCCCCGUACACAAAAAUGCACAUGCUGUGAGCUCGAUGAGUAGGGCGGGACACGUGGUAUCCUGUCUGAAUAUGGGGGGACCAUCCUCCAAGGCUAAAUACUCCUGACUGACCGAUAGUGAACCAGUACCGUGAGGGAAAGGCGAAAAGAACCCCGGCGAGGGGAGUGAAAAAGAACCUGAAACCGUGUACGUACAAGCAGUGGGAGCACGCUUAGGCGUGUGACUGCGUACCUUUUGUAUAAUGGGUCAGCGACUUAUAUUCUGUAGCAAGGUUAACCGAAUAGGGGAGCCGAAGGGAAACCGAGUCUUAACUGGGCGUUAAGUUGCAGGGUAUAGACCCGAAACCCGGUGAUCUAGCCAUGGGCAGGUUGAAGGUUGGGUAACACUAACUGGAGGACCGAACCGACUAAUGUUGAAAAAUUAGCGGAUGACUUGUGGCUGGGGGUGAAAGGCCAAUCAAACCGGGAGAUAGCUGGUUCU